Molecule: small RNA, 508 nt
Filed under: Pan troglodytes (chimpanzee)
Lineage: Eukaryota; Metazoa; Chordata; Mammalia; Primates; Hominidae
Description: processed transcript
Source: RNAcentral
AGAGGCUCGAUGGUGGACGGUGUGCCAGCCGGUGCCACACUGCACCUCUCUGCCCUCAUCUUUUCGAAUCGGGGGCCCUAACCCCUGUCUUUCACGGGGUGCUGCCGGGUCAAGGCAUUCAUCCUCUAGCUGAAGGAGAGGACUUGGGUGAGGAGCUGCUGCCACCCGGGCUGGGCCAGGACCUGAGAUCUCAUUGCUACUGCUGCCGCUGCUGCCUGGGGAACCUUUCUGAGACCCAGGUUGGGGACAGUGCCGGAGGGGCCUCCUCUGCUGCAGACAUCUGGAACCAGGUGCAGAUGGGUCUCUUCCUUCCUGCCCCCAUCUCUCUCACUCCCGGCUCAGUGCGGCACUCUCCAGCCUCCUGUGGGAAUCAUCUGAAGUUCUGAGCCCGGAAGCCAAGGAGGAAGACGAGGAGGAGGAGGAGGAGGAGGAGGGAGAGGAAGUCAAGCCCUGAGAACCCUUGCACCUUCCUAGCAGGAGACAAGGAGCAACGCUGCAGUGGGGAGCA